This 253-nucleotide ribosomal RNA is filed under the name uncultured bacterium. RNAcentral describes it as "partial 16S ribosomal RNA". It matches the Rfam family "Bacterial small subunit ribosomal RNA", at positions 524 to 776 of the family's 1533-position model. The record is from RNAcentral.
UCCAGCGGUCUCAAGCGUUGUUCGGAUUCAUUGGGCGUAAAGGGUGUGUAGGUGGCGCCGUAAGUCGGGUGUGAAAUUUCGGAGCUUAACUCCGAAACUGCAUUCGAUACUGCGGUGCUUGAGGACUGGAGAGGAGACUGGAAUUCAUGGUGUAGCAGUGAAAUGCGUAGAGAUCAUGAGGAAGACCAGUGGCGAAGGCGGGUCUCUGGACAGUUCCUGACACUGAGACACGAAGGCCAGGGGAGCAAACGGG